GGGCAUGUAGACCUUGACCGUGGCGUCGGCGGCGAUGUCCUUCGUGACCUCGAUCUCCGGCAGCUUGACGCGGAAGAGCUGCGAGUCGCCGCGCCCGCGCAGCUCGACGCCGAUCACGAGCUUCAUCGGCUUGAGCGCCGGCACCUCGUCGAGGAGCCGGAGCACGGCCUGCUCGAGCAG
RNAcentral lists this unclassified non-coding RNA (180 nucleotides) under plant metagenome. Its description in RNAcentral is "partial contains 5.8S ribosomal RNA, internal transcribed spacer 2, and large subunit ribosomal RNA". The record is from RNAcentral.